RNAcentral lists this ribosomal RNA (497 nucleotides) under uncultured bacterium. Its description in RNAcentral is "partial 16S ribosomal RNA". It matches the Rfam family "Bacterial small subunit ribosomal RNA", at positions 28 to 507 of the family's 1533-position model. The record is from RNAcentral.
GAUGAACGCUGGCGGCGUGCCUAAUACAUGCAAGUCGAGCGAACGGACGAGAAGCUUGCUUCUCUGAUGUUAGCGGCGGACGGGUGAGUAACACGUGGAUAACCUACCUAUAAGACUGGGAUAACUUCGGGAAACCGGAGCUAAUACCGGAUAAUAUUUUGAACCGCAUGGUUCAAAAGUGAAAGACGGUCUUGCUGUCACUUAUAGAUGGAUCCGCGCUGCAUUAGCUAGUUGGUAAGGUAACGGCUUACCAAGGCAACGAUGCAUAGCCGACCUGAGGGGGUGAUCGGCCACACUGGAACUGAGACACGGUCCAGACUCCUACGGGAGGCAGCAGUAGGGAAUCUUCCGCGAUGGGCGAAAGCCUGACGGAGCAACGCCGCGUGAGUGAUGAAGGUCUUCGGAUCGUAAAACUCUGUUAUUAGGGAAGAACAUAUGUGUAAGUAACUGUGCACAUCUUGACGGUACCUAAUCAGACAGCCACGGCUAACUACGUG